ACGAUAGGCUCUAACAUGGACGCCUUCGCCUUGGCGGUGGGCUGCCACGCCACUCCCACCACCCCCUUCCUCUCCCCUCCCCGUCCCCUCUCAAGAAAUCAUAAGCAUUCCCGCCGGAUCCCCGCUCUUUCUAAAACCCUAGAUAAAUCCCAUGCCUCCACCUCUGCCGCUCCCUCCUCCUCUUCUUCUCCGGCCACCAUUACGCCCUCCUUCAAUUCUUCUGCGAGGCGAGCCGCCAUUGCCGAAGUGGAAGCGUCGACCGACUUGGAUUCGGCUCUCUCCAGGGUGGAGGGAAUAUUGCAAGUACAAGAUUAUAACAACAUUUUAUUCUAUUUUGGAGGGUUAAGAAGAUGGACCAAAGUUUCUCAGCUUUUUGAUUGGAUGCAGAAACAUGAGAAGCUUAAUUUUGCAUCAUAUAGCAGUUUUAUCAAAUACAUGGGCAUAAGUCACAACCCGAUGAAAGCUCUACAAGCCUAUGAUAGCAUCCCAGAUAAGUCAUUGAAGGUUAAUGUGUCCAUUUGUAAUUCUCUUCUUGGUUGUUUGGUGAAAAAUGGACGGUUCGAGAGCAGUAACAAGUUGUUUAAUCAGAUGAAAGAUGAUGGUCUAUCGCCAGACUUGGUCACUUAUAGUACUCUUCUGUCAGGUUGCAGUAAAGUGAAGAAUGGCUACUCUAAGGCGAUGCAGUUGGUCCAGGAACUUGAAAAUAAAGGUCUGCGUAUGGAUGGUGUUAUCUAUGGCACUCUUUUAGCCACUUGUGCUUCAAAUAAUUUAUGUGACGAAGCAGAGUCAUAUUUUCAGCAGAUGAAGGAUGAAGGUUGUCCUCCUAAUUUAUUUCAUUACAGCUCCCUACUCAAUGCUUAUUCGGUAGAUGGGAAUUAUAUGAAGGCUGAGAAAUUAGUAAAUGAUAUGAAGUCUUCGGGAUUGGUACCAAAUAAGGUUAUUUUGACUACUUUAUUGAAGGUGUAUGCUAGAGGGGGCCUUUUUGAAAAGUCAAAGGAACUAUUGGCUGAAUUAGAGUUUUUGGGAUAUGCUGAAGAUGAGAUGCCUUACUGUUUGUUGAUGGAUAGUCUUGCUAAGGCUGGACAUAUACAGGAAGCAAAGGCUUUAUUUGCUGAAAUGAAGCAAAAACAUGUGAAAUCUGCUGGAUAUGCCCACAGUAUAAUUAUUUCUGCAUUAUGUCGUAGUGGGUUACUGAAAGAAGGAAGAACACUUGCAAAGGAAUUUGAAGCAAACUACAACAAAUAUGAUUUGGUUAUGCUUAACACCCUGCUCAGGGCUUACUGCAAUGCAGGGGAUAUGGACAGUGUAAUGCAAGUGUUAGGAAAAAUGGAUGAGUUGGCAAUAUCUCCUGAUUGGAACACAUUUCAUAUUCUAAUAAAGUAUUUCUGUAAGGAAAAGCUGUAUCACCUUGCAUAUCGAACUAUUGAGGACAUGCAUGGUAGAGGCCAUCAAAUAAAUGAGGAACUUUGUUCUUCACUAAUUUUACAAUUAGGACAAUCGGGUUUCCCAUCAGAAGCCUUUUCUGUUUAUAAUAUGCUGAGAUACAGUAAAAGAACAUUGUGCAAGUCCAUUCACGAGAAGAUGCUAGACCUCUUAGUUGCAGCAGGGCUUCUAAAAGAUGCUUAUAUAGUAAUGAAGGAUAAUAUGAAGCUGAUAUCCACCAGCUCUUUGGACAAAUUUGCUGUUUCAUUUAUGAGAUCAGGCAAUAUAAAUUUGAUAAAUGAUGUUUUUAAAGCAUUCCACCGUUUUGGACGACAAAUUAAUAUGGACAUAUUCCGUGCAGCUGUUUCACGUUACCUUGGACAACCUGAAAAGAAAGAGCUGGUUUUGCAACUUCUGCAAUGGAUGUCAAGACAUGGCUAUUGUGUGGACUCGUCAUCAAGGAACUUGCUUCUUAAAAACUCGCAUCUCUUUGGUCAAAAGCAGCUCAUAGCAGAAAUCUUAUCCAAACAACAUAUGAUGUCAAGGAAAUUGAGAAGCCAAGAGGUGAAGAAAUGAUAAAAUAACCUCCGAGGAUUCAUCCAUCCACAUGGAUAAAGAUGGCAACUAACCUGUAGCCGGAUUGCUAGUCUGUUUCUGGACUCUGGAACUAUAUUCCCUCACAAAAUUCUCUGGCUGAGGGCAGUGGAUGGCAGAUGGUAUUACUGGAGGUUUUCUGGAUCGGCUAACCUCCCUGUAUUUAGCAUAAAGGAAAAAGAAAGAUGCCAAUUGCUUUUUUUUUUUGUGAUCAGAAGUGGGGGUUUCUUCAUCAGUCUGCAUACCACAAUGUUAUGGAGAAUCAAUCAAGCUUUGAACCAAGCCAUGGACCUCAGUUAAGAGGAUGACAGUGGUUAAGCCACACCAGGCUCAUAGAAGAUACAAACACUCCACUCAGAGACAUUUGGUGACAAAGCAAUCACAUGUGCUUUUGAAAAGCAGAAAGCAUGUAUGGGAUGCUGUCAACAGAAUAGAGUGUUUGAUUCCUUCUCCACCUUUACAAUCACAUUUAUUUAUAUGAGUGCUGCAUUGCUAUCGUCAGUCUAAGCCCAUAUAUCUCCAUUUCUUUUAGAUAAAGCUUUGGUGCUUGCUCUCCGCAGUCCACUAUGCAUUCUCAGAAGAAGGUUGUUGGCUGGAGCAAAGACUGUUAAAGUAGGCCUAUGGGGAGGCCAUGGGGGGAAGUGCUUGGGAUGAUGGCAGCUACAAUGGAGUUCGAGAGAUAACUCUGGUGUAUGAUUGGUGCAUCAACUCAAUUUGGGUCCUGUAUGACAAGAAUGGGAAGCCUGUUCUGUCAGAAAAGCAUGGAGGAAAUGGGGGCAACCUCACAGUCCAGGUAUAUAUAUUCCUGUCAGUUAAAUCUUCUAUUAUAUGAAUCUAAAGUUCAAAAAACUGAUUAAAUAUUCUCUCAUGCCGUAAUUAUCAAAGUUAUAGGUUGUGCUAAAAUUGCAGGAUUAAAACCAGAGAUCCAUUCUCCUGAAUCAUAAUUUAUAUUUUAUGUUUGAAAAUUAUUUUCCAAUGCUUCUCAUCUCUGUAUCAAGUGAAUUACUACUGCUACCGACUAGCAUGUCAGUGCUCUUUACUGCCAGCUUGAUAUGAUCUAAUUCACAAACUAGUAUCCAAGCUGGUUCAAUUUUUAACCAUCUUGUAAAAUAUGUGGAGGACGAUUAAUGGCCUGGUUCUCUGACAGCAUGCUCUUACCAAGGUGUCAGA
Non-coding RNA from Phoenix dactylifera (date palm), 3186 nucleotides. NCBI's taxonomy places the organism in Eukaryota, Viridiplantae, Streptophyta, Magnoliopsida, Arecales, Arecaceae. The record is from RefSeq and is a predicted model, not a curated record.